Molecule: ribosomal RNA, 253 nt
Filed under: uncultured bacterium
Lineage: Bacteria
Description: partial 16S ribosomal RNA
Rfam family: Bacterial small subunit ribosomal RNA
Source: RNAcentral
UACGUAGGGUGCAAGCGUUAAUCGGAAUUACUGGGCGUAAAGCGUGCGCAGGCGGCUUUGCAAGACAGAUGUGAAAUCCCCGGGCUCAACCUGGGAACUGCAUUUGUGACUGCACAGCUGGAGUGUGGCAGAGGGGGAUGGAAUUCCGCGUGUAGCAGUGAAAUGCGUAGAUAUGCGGAGGAACACCGAUGGCGAAGGCAAUCCCCUGGGCCUGCACUGACGCUCAUGCACGAAAGCGUGGGGAGCAAACAGG